UACGUAGGGUGCAAGCGUUAAUCGGAAUUACUGGGCGUAAAGCGCUCGCAGGUGGUCCGAUGCGUCGUGCGUGAAAGACCCCGGCUCAACUGGGGAGGGUCGUGCGAUACGGUCGGACUGGAGGCCAGUAGGGGGAUGUGGAAUUCCGCGUGUAGCAGUGAAAUGCGUAGAGAUGCGGAGGAACACCGAUGGCGAAGGCAGCCCCCUGGGUCGACACUGACGCUCAGGCACGAAAGCGUGGGGAGCAAACAGG
RNAcentral lists this ribosomal RNA (253 nucleotides) under uncultured bacterium. RNAcentral's name for it is "partial 16S ribosomal RNA". It matches the Rfam family "Bacterial small subunit ribosomal RNA", at positions 524 to 776 of the family's 1533-position model. The record is from RNAcentral.